Molecule: ribosomal RNA, 253 nt
Filed under: uncultured bacterium
Lineage: Bacteria
Description: partial 16S ribosomal RNA
Rfam family: Bacterial small subunit ribosomal RNA
Source: RNAcentral
UACGUAGGGGGCGAGCGUUGUCCGGAUUUAUUGGGCGUAAAGAGCUCGUAGGCGGUUUGGCAAGUCGGGUGUGAAAUUUCGAGGCUCAACCUCGAAACGCCACUCGAUACUGGCAGACUUGAAUACGGGAGAGGGUAGUGGAAUUCCUGGUGUAGGAGUGAAAUCCGUAGAUAUCAGGAGGAACACCGGUGGCGAAGGCGGCUACCUGGACCGGUACUGACGCUGAGGAGCGAAAGCGUGGGGAGCAAACAGG